CAACACUCAAACAAAAACAGUCAUCUCAGGCAGAAACAGACUCAGGAAGCGGGAUUCCUGACACUCUUCAUGAGUAGCGACACAUGCGAAGACUUGGUGGCUGCAUGCGGCGUGUUCCUGUAGGAUAGCAGGAAGCUGUUCAAGCAUUGGUGCAGUGUCCUUUGAACUUGAGGCGCUUUUAAGACCCGUUUCAUGGUCUGUACGAACCUCUCCGCCAGCCCGUUGGUAGAUGAAUGAUAUGGUCUGGACCUGAUGUUCUGUACUCCAUUCACCUGUAGGGACUUGGCCAUUUCUCUAGUUGCGGUCCGUUGUCGCUAACGAGUCGGAUGUCCACUUGGAGUGACCUUGGCUUGACCACAGGUAGUGGUAACCUGGAGAGUCCAUCUGUGUUGCAGUGUCGUAGGGGUGUACUGACAACAACAAAGCCCACAUUUUGCUUUCAGCAAGUGAAGGAAUCAGAGUGUGCGGUCCAAAGAUGCUCGUCAGCGGAUGAUCUGACACAACUGCUCCCACACCAUAAGGAUUAGCAUCACAAGCUAGUUGGAUGGGCGAUGAUGGCUUGAAGUGUGUCUGCUUCAGAUCUCGCGAGUGUUUCCUUGGUUUUCACGAAUGCCUCCUCGUAUUGUUCUGUCCAUUUCCAUGUUUUGUCCUGAUGAAGCAAUGGAUGCAGCGGCUUCAGCUUCGUUGUUAAUCUUGGAAUGAAGCAUCAGUAGUAAUUCAGUAACCCCAGGAAAGAACAUAGUAGGCUGGAGUACUUUUGUCUCGGUGCUCUCAACGAAUCAUCUGAGGGUGAUUCGUUGACCAGCCAUCAUUAACGUAGAGCACUGAAUUGAUUCACUUUAUAUGUGUGUGUUGUAUUGACCUGCUCCCUUAUUAAUAAGUGAAUAAAGAUUUAGUUUAAGUAUAA
Molecule: long non-coding RNA, 907 nt
Filed under: Salmo salar (Atlantic salmon)
Lineage: Eukaryota; Metazoa; Chordata; Actinopteri; Salmoniformes; Salmonidae
Description: lncRNA (ENSSSAG00000082918.1, ENSSSAG00000095564.1)
Source: RNAcentral